GACGAACGCUGGCGGCGUGCUUAACACAUGCAAGUCGAACGGAAAGGCCCUGCUUUUGUGGGGUGCUCGAGUGGCGAACGGGUGAGUAACACGUGAGUAACCUGCCCUUGACUUUGGGAUAACUUCAGGAAACUGGGGCUAAUACCGGAUAGGAGCUCCUGCUGCAUGGUGGGGGUUGGAAAGUUUCGGCGGGUGGGGAUGGACUCGCGGCUUAUCAGCUUGUUGGUGGGGUAGUGGCUUACCAAGGCUUUGACGGGUAGCCGGCCUGAGAGGGUGACCGGCCACAUUGCGACUGAGAUACGGCCCAGACUCCUACGGGAGGCAGCAGUGGGGAAUAUUGCACAAUGGGCGGAAGCCUGAUGCAGCAACGCCGCGUGCGGGAUGACGGCCUUCGGGUUGUAAACCGCUUUCGCCUGUGACGAAGCGUGAGUGACGGUAAUGGGUAAAGAAGCACCGGCUAACUACGUG
RNAcentral lists this ribosomal RNA (468 nucleotides) under uncultured bacterium. RNAcentral describes it as "partial 16S ribosomal RNA". It matches the Rfam family "Bacterial small subunit ribosomal RNA", at positions 28 to 507 of the family's 1533-position model. The record is from RNAcentral.